CAGCCGUAAACUAUGCUCGCUAGGUGUCAGGCAUGGCGCGACCGUGUCUGGUGCCGCAGGGAAGCCGUGGAGCGAGCCACCUGGGAAGUACGGCCGCAAGGCUGAAACUUAAAGGAAUUGGCGGGGGAGCACAACAACGGGUGGAGCCUGCGGUUUAAUUGGACUCAACGCCGGACAACUCACCGGGGACGACAGCAAUAUGUAGGCCAGGCUGAAGACCUUGCCUGAAUCGCUGAGAGGAGGUGCAUGGCGUAGACGUCU
Molecule: ribosomal RNA, 261 nt
Filed under: uncultured archaeon
Lineage: Archaea
Description: partial 16S ribosomal RNA
Rfam family: Archaeal small subunit ribosomal RNA
Source: RNAcentral